GGGGGCGACCUGGUUUCGACGUGGGUCGCGAAACCCGAAGUGCAUGCCGAGGUGCAGGAUUCCUCGCAAAACUGUCUUGCAAAAACGCUAGCUGCGAACGAUAGCAACUACGCCCUAGCCGCCUAAUCCCGGCUAGCCUCUGACUGGAGCCGUGCUUGUGCGUCCAGAGUCUCUUCGGGGACGCUUCAGAGGUCGUGCUCACAAGAUCGCGGUACGGUGCAUCCGGCGCCAGACUGCUAAAAAAUACCGGACUCGCUGUCGGUUUUCCCUGCCCGUCGGGUAGCCGCCAGUUAAAUCAAAGACGUGUGCUACGCAUGUAGAGCUGAGGGCGGA
Molecule: transfer-messenger RNA, 333 nt
Filed under: Gammaproteobacteria bacterium
Lineage: Bacteria; Pseudomonadati; Pseudomonadota; Gammaproteobacteria
Description: partial transfer-messenger RNA
Rfam family: transfer-messenger RNA
About the family: Bacterial tmRNA, also known as 10Sa RNA or SsrA, is named for its dual tRNA and mRNA-like properties. Its role is to liberate the mRNA from a stalled ribosome. To accomplish this part of the tmRNA is used as a reading frame that ends in a translation stop signal.
Source: RNAcentral